Molecule: long non-coding RNA, 700 nt
Organism: Gasterosteus aculeatus aculeatus (three-spined stickleback)
Lineage: Eukaryota; Metazoa; Chordata; Actinopteri; Perciformes; Gasterosteidae
Source: Ensembl
GGACAUUGAAUCCCUCACAACAUUCGACCUUUUGUGUAUAACGAUGUAAAUACAUGUUUGCUUCCCAUGAGCUAAAACGUCACGUUCUCUACCUUUUAUAUCAGAUGGAAUCAGGCAACAUUUACUGCCAUAAUAUGUCAGAAAUACAAGGAAUCUCACUUGGUUGGUGCCAACAAGACAACAGUGCACGAGGAAUCAAAAAUAAUGCUGUGGGUCAGUAGUACAAGGCUAUGGGUUAGUAAUAUAAGGCUAUGGGUUAGUAGUAUAAGGCUAUGGGUUAGUAGUAUAAGGCUAUGGGUUAUUAGUAUAAUGCUAUGGGUUAGUAGUACAAGGCUAUGGGUUAGUAAUACAAGGCUAUGGGUUAGUAAUAUAAGGCUAUGGGUUAGUAAUAUAAGGCUAUGGGUUAGUAGUAUAAGGCUGUGGGUUAGUAAUAUAAGGCUAUGGGUUAGUAAUAUAAGGCUAUGGGUUAGUAGUAUAAGGCUAUGGGUUAGUAAUAUCAGGCUAUGGGUUAGUAAUAUAAGGCUAUGGGUUAGUAAUAUAAGGCUAUGGGUUAGUAGUAUAAUGCUAUGGAUUAGUAGUAUAAGGCUAUGGGUUAGUAGUAUAAGGCUAUGGGUUAGUAAUAUAAGGCUAUGGGUCAGUAGUAUAAGGCUAUGGGUUAGUAAUAUAAGGCUAUGGGUUAGUAAUAUAAGGCUAUGGGUUA